Molecule: ribosomal RNA, 430 nt
Filed under: uncultured bacterium
Lineage: Bacteria
Description: bacterial SSU rRNA
Rfam family: Bacterial small subunit ribosomal RNA
Source: RNAcentral
GGGCCCGCACAAGCGGUGGAGCAUGUGGUUUAAUUCGAUGAUACGCGAGGAACCUUACCAGGGCUUAAAUGGGAGAUGACAGGGGCAGAGACGCCCUUUUCUUCGGACAUCUUUCAAGGUGCUGCAUGGUUGUCGUCAGCUCGUGCCGUGAGGUGUCAGGUUAAGUCCUAUAACGAGCGCAACCCCUACCGUUAGUUGCCAGCGAUUCAAGUCGGGGACUCUAACGGGACUGCCGGUGCAAACCGUGAGGAAGGUGGGGACGACGUCAAAUCAUCACGGCCCUUACGUCCUGGGCUACACACGUGCUACAAUGGUCGGUACAGAGGGAAGCUACCCCGUAAGGGGAUGCGGAUCUAUAAAACCGAUCUCAGUUCGGAUCGCAGUCUGCAACUCGACUGCGUGAAGCUGGAAUCGCUAGUAAUCGGAUAUC